Phoenix dactylifera (date palm) is the source of this 1404-nucleotide non-coding RNA. The record is from RefSeq and is a predicted model, not a curated record. NCBI's taxonomy places the organism in Eukaryota, Viridiplantae, Streptophyta, Magnoliopsida, Arecales, Arecaceae.
ACCGAUAUCACAAUUGAUACUGGGUCGAUCACCGCUAAAUGCCUCUACGUGACCCACCGCUUCUCCUCGCUCUCCCGCUUCUCUUCUUCUCGACGAAAGGUUUUCGAGCUGCGUGAACCCUAGCCCCGAGGAAAACGCUGAACUUUGGAUGCCGAUCCGGGAGCCAUGGCCGCGGCCAACCCUCCGAUCACCAUGGGAGAGUUCCUGACUCUUCCAAAUCUGGGGAUAAAGCCACAUUUCAUCACUUUUAUGCAUGUAACGAUGGAGCCAGAGAAAUACACAUAGGGAGACUUCUCUGCAGAACAGUGUUGUUAUCUCGACAUGAACAUGCCGAUGCAGCCGUUGAGGAGCCCUGUCACUGGGGACUCGGCAUUGAUGAAUCCAAACAGCAGGAUUCUUGCUCUCAAAGCUAAACUACCGGGAACUACUCGGGACCACAUACAAAUAUUCAAUAUUGAGGCAAAAGUAAAAAUUAAAUCACACAAGAUUCCAAAACAGGUUGUCUUUUGGAAGUGGAUCACUUCAAAGAUCACGCAAACCUCAGUGUAUCAUUGGUCAAUAGAAGGUUACAGCUAAGAUUCAAGAGUUUUUUUUGGGUAUGCCCAGUUGCUGCCUCUUGCAUUGCCCCAGGCAUGGGUGGACCUUUUCGCGGCCGCACCACCAGUGGAUGGGAUGGGGAUGCCUCCAAUGCCACUCUUUGGCACAUCUCCGUUGGGAAGUUACUAAAAAAUUUGAUGUUUGUCCACAGUUGUGUUAGGUGAUACACAUUUGGUACUGGUGAACAAUUUAUAAUUUAUUGCAGCAGCAGGUGGUCAGUCAAGAAAAAGUAUAACAACAUUUGUAAUUUUAAUAUAGGCAUUGGUUUUGCAUUGGUACCCGGCAAUUUUUUUGGGUGCCGUGCAAUACUGUGCUUAGGAUUCUGUUUGGUGACUGAUCUCUUUUUGAUGUAACUGGUGACUGAUCUCCUGCGAUGAGCAGAUGCAGCUGAGUUUUGUGAGAGCAUAGUCAGUAGCUGGUUUCUUGUGUAUAGGUGGUACUCAAUACUUUCAUUAAAUGGAUCGGAUGGCUUAUAAAGCCAUAUCUGAUGUACUACAGUGGGAAAAUGAGCACUUGGAUUGCAUUCUUUCUGCGGACUGCAGCAUUGCUCGAAGAAUUCCAUCAUCUAGAGCAUUGGUAAUGGGCCACUGAUAUCUCUUUCAUCAUUCGCAUGCUUGACGGCCUUGAAUGUUUCGGUGAUGGUAUGCAACCGGAAAUUCUUCUCCGCCAUAGUUUUAUUAUUAUUGAAGUCAUUGUAUGUAUGCUUAAAAUAACUAGAUGAAGAAUGUUAUUAUUCAGGGUUAACUACAAAUUGAACUUGUCCUUUGAAGCAUUUAUAUUGAUAUAUCAUCUCAUUGCUCGGAUCUA